Molecule: ribosomal RNA, 496 nt
Filed under: uncultured bacterium
Lineage: Bacteria
Description: partial 16S ribosomal RNA
Rfam family: Bacterial small subunit ribosomal RNA
Source: RNAcentral
GAUGAACGCUGGCGGCGUGCCUAAUACAUGCAAGUCGAGCGAACGGACGAGAAGCUUGCUUCUCUGAUGUUAGCGGCGGACGGGUGAGUAACACGUGGAUAACCUACCUAUAAGACUGGGAUAACCUCGGGAAACCGGAGCUAAUACCGGAUAAUAUUUUGAACCGCAUGGUUCAAAAGUGAAAGACGGUCUUGCUGUCACUUAUAGAUGGAUCCGCGCUGCAUUAGCUAGUUGGUAAGGUAACGGCUUACCAAGGCAACGAUGCAUAGCCGACCUGAGAGGGGAUCGGCCACACUGGAACUGAGACACGGUCCAGACUCCUACGGGAGGCAGCAGUAGGGAAUCUUCCGCAAUGGGCGAAAGCCUGACGGAGCAACGCCGCGUGAGUGAUGAAGGUCUUCGGAUCGUAAAACUCUGUUAUUAGGGAAGAACAUAUGUGUAAGUAACUGUGCACAUCUUGACGGUACCUAAUCAGAAAGCCACGGCUAACUACGUG